AGUUUGUUCUUUCAUCUCUUCUGUGCUGCAAGGAAAUUGGUGCACCUGGUAAAGAGAGCAUGAAUUGGGUAGCCAAUUCCUGUGCCUUGUCCCACAAAAAAUCCCAAAAGAUUGAAAGAAGGUUUCUGCUUAGUUUAUGGAUCCCUAAGAUGGAUCAUGAUCUGAACAGAUGGAUCCUCUUCAGGAAUCUGAGAAUUCAGCUCUGAAAUGCAAGUCCCUAUAAACGGAUGUGUGCAUAGAAAACAAGGUAUGCCUGAGCAUUGAUGAUACAAGUUUGGCUGGGAGAGAAGAAAUGUAUCUUAACUUUGAGCAAGGAAUACCAUAUGAGUUGAGAGAAACUUGUUGGCUUGUUUUGGUAGACAAUGUUAUUAGCUCAGAUAAAUCGAGACUCUCAGGGAAUGACUGAAUUUUCUGGAGGAGGAAUGGAGGCCCAGCAUGUGACUCUUUGUCUAACAGAAGCUGUAGCUGUGCAAGGUGAACCUUCAGAUGGUGACAACUUAGAAAACAUGGAAGGUGUAAGUUUGCAAGCAGUUACCCUUGCUGAUGGCUCCACUGCUUACAUACAGCACAAUUCUAAAGAUGGUAAAUUAAUGGAUGGCCAAGUGAUUCAAUUAGAAGAUGGUUCUGCUGCUUAUGUUCAACAUGUACCCAUGCCUAAAAGCAGGGACAGCUUGCGUCUGGAAGAUGGACAAGCAGUUCAGCUGGAAGAUGGAACUACAGCAUUUAUUCAUCACACCUCGAAAGACAGUUACGACCAGAGUGCAUUACAAGCAGUCCAGCUGGAGGAUGGAACUACUGCCUACAUUCACCACACAGUGCAAAUGCCACAGUCAGAUACCAUUUUAGCUAUUCAAGCUGAUGGCACAGUAGCAGGUCUUCAUACAGGAGAUGCUGCCAUUGACCCAGAUACCAUCAGUGCUUUGGAGCAGUAUGCAGCCAAGGUGUCUAUUGAUGGAAAUGACAGUGUUAGUGGCACAGGAAUGAUAGGUGAAAAUGAACAAGAUAAAAAAAUGCAGAUUGUCUUGCAAGGACAUGGAACAAGAGUGACUGCAAAAUCUCAGCAGAGUGGAGAGAAAGCCUUUCGCUGUGAUUAUGAUGGCUGUGGAAAACUGUACACAACAGCUCACCAUCUUAAGGUGCAUGAAAGGUCACACACAGGAGACAGACCAUAUCAGUGUGAACAUCCUGGAUGUGGCAAAGCCUUUGCGACAGGGUAUGGGUUAAAAAGUCAUGUCCGAACACACACUGGUGAAAAGCCUUAUCGCUGCACAGAAGAAAAUUGCACCAAAUCUUUCAAGACUUCAGGAGACCUGCAGAAACAUAUUCGAACCCACACAGGUGAAAGGCCUUUUAAAUGUCCAUUUGAAGGAUGUGGCAGGUCAUUCACAACAUCUAAUAUUAGAAAGGUUCACAUCAGGACACAUACAGGCGAAAGGCCUUAUUACUGUACAGAGCCAGGAUGUGGGAGAGCUUUUGCCAGUGCAACUAAUUAUAAGAAUCAUGUGAGAAUACACACAGGGGAGAAACCCUACGUCUGUACAGUUCCUGGUUGUGAUAAACGUUUUACAGAGUAUUCCAGUUUAUACAAACAUCAUGUUGUACAUACUCAUUCCAAACCAUAUAACUGUAAUCACUGUGGGAAAACAUACAAGCAGAUUUCUACACUUGCUAUGCACAAGCGGACAGCACACAAUGACACAGAGCCCAUUGAAGAAGAACAAGAGGCUUUUUUUGAGCCACCUCCAGGUCAAGGUGAAGAUGUUCUCAAAGGCUCCCAGAUAACCUAUGUAACAGGUGUAGAGGGAGAAGAUGUAAUUUCUGCACAGGUUGCUACAGUUACGCAGUCAGGAUUAGGUCAACAAGUAGCACUAAUAUCCCAGGAUGGAACCCAACAUGUCAACAUAUCCCAGGCAGAUAUGCAGGCCAUUGGCAAUACUAUCACUAUGGUAACACAAGAUGGCACCACCAUCACAGUCCCUGCCCAUGAUGCGGUCAUCUCUUCUGCAGGAACACAUUCCGUAGCGAUGGUUACUGCAGAAGGCACCGAAGGACAGCAGGUUGCUAUUGUGGCUCAAGACUUAGCAGCAUUUCAUAGUGCCUCAUCAGAAAUGGGACAUCAGCAACAUGGGCACCAUUUAGUGACUACAGAAACUAGACCUGUUACAUUGUUGGCUACAUCCAAUGGAACACAAAUUGCAGUACAGCUUGGAGAACAACAGUCUCUGGAAGAAGCCAUUAGAAUAGCCUCCAGAAUACAACAGGGUGAAACACCAGGGAUUGAUGAUUAACUUCUAAAACUGCUACCAGAACAAUAGAGCGAAAGAUGAGUGUCAAGAGCACUUCUGAAACUGAAGCCUCACCUUUUACCUUCUCAAGGGAAGGAAGGAUUAAACAUCUUCUGGAUGAAGUGUUAAUCAAGUAAUCAUUUUUUUCCGGAAACAGUGGCUGGAACGGUGGCUUUGACUUAGCAAAGAAAUAACUUCAGUUCUUCUCAUUUCCCAGGACAUUUUCUGACCGCUGUACAAAUAGUGGAGAGACCUGUGCAAUUUUCUACCUUGCUUCCAUUCAGACCGGAGUGGAAGGAGCUGUUUUGAUGCAUAAAUUCAAACUCCAGCUGGUUGAUGACAGUAAGCAGGAAUGUCUGGGCCCUGGCUGUGGCCACGGGAGCUGGAACCAUGUCCGAAGUUGCUUGUGAGGCUUCUGCCCACAGACAUCGGAGACCAGCGACAGGAGAUGGGCAAACAACGGAAGCAUGGUUAAGUACAAACUUUUGUUUUCUAUUGAUUGGGCCUUAGGUGUUUCAGUUGGUUAUCUUUGGAGCUUUCAGACUCACAGACUGGUGCUGCUCACUGUCGAAGUGUGCCAUUUGCAGCAGAUGAGGUUUUUGUACCCCAGGCAAGGAGAGGUAGGUUUCGGGGAGGAGGCUGGUGGGGGGGCAUGGGCUGAGAGAAGAGGGGCUGUGCCACAGGGUCCCGGCAUCCCGCGUGCCCUCAGCUCUCAGGGAAGCAAAGCCCUGGCACUACCUGCAGGUCCAGGGGACGGUGUGCCUGCCCGGAGAGCCUGGGGAAGCAGAGAGAAACUCAACAGCGAUGCACACCUGGCUUGCUUCGCGUUGUUUGGAGCUCCCGGGGCUGGAAAAACCUGCUUAUUUCAGGGGUUACCCAAGGGGUUCAUUUUAAGGUGAUUUGAUAGAGGAGAGAGAUUGGCAGGUUUAUUUGUUCAGUUACAUUUAAUCAAGGUGGUGCGAGAUGGAAAACGAAGCCGAGAGGCAAAGUUGUGGCAUCUGUAGGGAGGUGGCCUGACUGUUAAAUGGCAUCUGCUGCAAAAUCGCAUAUGCCGUGCCAAGACUCUUUGAUUCGUUUAGAAAUGUCUCGUAGGAGUUACCAUUAACAGCACGGGGUGCUGUACUGGAGGCUCCUGCGUUUCUGACUGCGUUUCAAGUCACGCCAAUAGAGGUAUUUGGAACGUAUUAACUCUUCGGCUUAGCUAAAAAAGGCCGCCUUCACCUGGCCUAAAAGGAGUUGUUACUGUGCUGAGGCACAUGCGGUGGCGCGCUCCUCCAGCAACCGAACGGGAGCAAAGCAACCUUGCUGGGAGGCGGGGAGCUG
Molecule: RNA transcript, 3608 nt
Organism: Haliaeetus leucocephalus (bald eagle)
Lineage: Eukaryota; Metazoa; Chordata; Aves; Accipitriformes; Accipitridae
Gene: ZNF143
Gene name: zinc finger protein 143
Exons: 22
Source: RefSeq, a predicted model, not a curated record